UACGAAGGGGGCUAGCGUUGUUCGGAAUUACUGGGCGUAAAGCGCGCGUAGGCGGCUUUGUAAGUUAGAGGUGAAAGCCCGGAGCUCAACUCCGGAACUGCCUUUAAGACUGCAUCGCUAGAAUUGUGGAGAGGUAAGUGGAAUUCCGAGUGUAGAGGUGAAAUUCGUAGAUAUUCGGAAGAACACCAGUGGCGAAGGCGGCUCACUGGACCGGCAUUGACGCUGAUGUGCGAAAGCGUGGGGAGCAAACAGG
This 253-nucleotide ribosomal RNA is filed under the name uncultured bacterium. Its description in RNAcentral is "partial 16S ribosomal RNA". It matches the Rfam family "Bacterial small subunit ribosomal RNA", at positions 524 to 776 of the family's 1533-position model. The record is from RNAcentral.